RNAcentral lists this ribosomal RNA (497 nucleotides) under uncultured bacterium. Its description in RNAcentral is "partial 16S ribosomal RNA". It matches the Rfam family "Bacterial small subunit ribosomal RNA", at positions 28 to 507 of the family's 1533-position model. The record is from RNAcentral.
GAUGAACGCUGGCGGCGUGCCUAAUACAUGCAAGUCGAGCGAACAGACGAGGAGCUUGCUCCUCUGACGUUAGCGGCGGACGGGUGAGUAACACGUGGAUAACCUACCUAUAAGACUGGGAUAACUUCGGGAAACCGGAGCUAAUACCGGAUAAUAUAUUGAACCGCAUGGUUCAUUAGUGAAAGACGGUUUUGCUGUCACUUAUAGAGGGAUCCGCGCCGCAUUAGCUAGUUGGUAAGGUAACGGCUUACCAAGGCAACGAUGCGUAGCCGACCUGAGAGGGUGAUCAGCCACACUGGAACUGAGACACGGUCCAGACUCCUACGGGAGGCAGCAGUAGGGAAUCUUCCGCAAUGGGCGAAAGCCUGACGGAGCAACGCCGCGUGAGUGAUGAAGGUCUUCGGAUCGUAAAACUCUGUUAUUAGGGAAGAACAAAUGUGUAAGUAACUAUGCACGUCUUGACGGUACCUAAUCAGAAAGCCACGGCUAACUACGUG